GCAAUUACUGCAAGUUCAAAUCUCACCAGGCUCAAGGUUGACUCAGCCUUCCAUCCUUUCGAGGUAGGUAAAAUGAGGACCUGGAUUGUGGGGGCACUAAGCUGACUUUGUAUAUAUUUUAAAAAAAGAACACCGCUUGGGGGGGGGCGCAUAUAAAUCGAACCAAUAAAUAAAUAAAUAAUAAACAAACAAACAAACUUGAAAUGUGACAUCUGCAUUUAAGAACUGUGCCUGUUAUAAGGGUAUGUUAAAAGACUGGUCCCUCAAUGUUUUAUAGAAAACAUUUGUAAAAACCAAGCAAGGAUGUAAAUACAAUAAAUAUACCGUGAAAACUU
Pantherophis guttatus is the source of this 335-nucleotide non-coding RNA. NCBI's taxonomy places the organism in Eukaryota, Metazoa, Chordata, Lepidosauria, Squamata, Colubridae. The record is from RefSeq and is a predicted model, not a curated record.